GCUCAGGAUGAACGCUAGCUACAGGCUUAACACAUGCAAGUCGAGGGGCAGCAUGGUCUUAGCUUGCUAAGGCUGAUGGCGACCGGCGCACGGGUGAGUAACACGUAUCCAACCUGCCGUCUACUCUUGGCCAGCCUUCUGAAAGGAAGAUUAAUCCAGGAUGGGAUCAUGAGUUCACAUGUCCGCAUGAUUAAAGGUAUUUUCCGGUAGACGAUGGGGAUGCGUUCCAUUAGAUAGUAGGCGGGGUAACGGCCCACCUAGUCAACGAUGGAUAGGGGUUCUGAGAGGAAGGUCCCCCACAUUGGAACUGAGACACGGUCCAAACUCCUACGGGAGGCAGCAGUGAGGAAUAUUGGUCAAUGGGCGAUGGCCUGAACCAGCCAAGUA
RNAcentral lists this ribosomal RNA (387 nucleotides) under uncultured Bacteroides sp. RNAcentral's name for it is "bacterial SSU rRNA". It matches the Rfam family "Bacterial small subunit ribosomal RNA", at positions 22 to 398 of the family's 1533-position model. Lineage: Bacteria; Pseudomonadati; Bacteroidota; Bacteroidia; Bacteroidales; Bacteroidaceae. The record is from RNAcentral.